GACGUAGGGCGCGAGCGUUGUCCGGAUUUAUUGGGCGUAAAGAGCUCGUAGGCGGUUCGGUAAGUCGGGUGUGAAACCUCCAGGCUCAACCUAGAGACGCCACCCGAUACUGCUGUGACUAGAGUCCGGUAGGGGAGCGUGGAAUUCCUGGUGUAGCGGUGAAAUGCGCAGAUAUCAGGAGGAACACCGGUGGCGAAGGCGGGUUGCUGGGCCGACACUGACGCUGAGGCGCGAAAGCCAGGGGAGCGAACGGG
Molecule: ribosomal RNA, 254 nt
Filed under: uncultured bacterium
Lineage: Bacteria
Description: partial 16S ribosomal RNA
Rfam family: Bacterial small subunit ribosomal RNA
Source: RNAcentral